UGGUGGGUAGUUUGACUGGGGCGGUCUCCUCCCAAAGCGUAACGGAGGAGCACGAAGGUUAGCUAAUCCUGGUCGGACAUCAGGAGGUUAGUGCAAUGGCAUAAGCUAGCUUGACUGCGAGCGUGACGGCGCGAGCAGGUGCGAAAGCAGGUCAUAGUGAUCCGGUGGUUCUGAAUGGAAGGGCCAUCGCUCAACGGAUAAAAGGUACUCCGGGGAUAACAGGCUGAUACCGCCCAAGAGUUCAUAUCGACGGCGGUGUUUGGCACCUCGAUGUCGGCUCAUCACAUCCUGGGGCUGAAGUAGGUCCCAAGGGUAUGGCUGUUCGCCAUUUAAAGUGGUACGCGAGCUGGGUUUAGAACGUCGUGAGACAGUUCGGUCCCUAUCUGCCGUGGGCGCUGGAGAAUUGAGGGGGGCUGCUCCUAGUACGAGAG
This 431-nucleotide ribosomal RNA is filed under the name Klebsiella pneumoniae. Its description in RNAcentral is "partial 23S ribosomal RNA". It matches the Rfam family "Bacterial large subunit ribosomal RNA", at positions 2259 to 2689 of the family's 2925-position model. Lineage: Bacteria; Pseudomonadati; Pseudomonadota; Gammaproteobacteria; Enterobacterales; Enterobacteriaceae. The record is from RNAcentral. RNAcentral also lists the same sequence under 1 other name.